UUCUAUGAUACCAUCUUAUCUGACAUUCUUUUUUUAAUCUCCUCGAUGGCCAGGGUAGGACAAGGAGGAAACACUAAUGGGAUAACUUGAUAAGCUCGCCAUACUGUUGCUCCCCGUGUGUAAAAACUUGCUCACAUGAUCAGAUGAUGCCCCAAUUUCAGAUGCAAACGAGCUCCGACUACCUCCACCGAAUCCCAAUAAUUCAGCAGACAUAAAUGAAACCAUAGACAACUUAUCAUUGAUGUCUGAUGUUGCAGAAGCAUAUGACAUCUCAGAAUAUAAAUCCAUAUUGUCAACGUUCUCUUUCGCGGAAGAUCUUCCGAAUGAGGUUGAGGGGCCUGCAUCUUCAGUAUAAUGUUUUGAGCUUCCGUUGUUUUUAGCCAACUCUGAGUCUGUCUGUUGGCUAGCACUAGUCCAUUUAUCAUUUGCAGAAACCAAAUGAUCAAUUGCUACACAAGGUUUCCAUUCAGGAACCAAUUUUAUCAAUAACAAAUCGAUUAACUCAGCUAUGAAUUUUACAUUCUGAUCAGCAAGUUCAAGUUGCUCAACCAUUUCCUUUGAAACUGAGACAGCAGUAUCACUGUCAAGGUAGAAGAUGAAAUGGAUAUAUUUUGCUUGUCCUGCAUAUAAAUCGCAAAAAGUAUAAACUUUCCACCAACAAAUUUAAAAGUCAUUAAAGAGUAGAAAUGAACUAUACUAACCCCUCUGAUCAGCUAUCCGCAGAACCAAUGAUACAGAAUUCUCAUCAUU
This 750-nucleotide long non-coding RNA is filed under the name Medicago truncatula (barrel medic). RNAcentral's name for it is "lncRNA gene49612". The record is from RNAcentral. Lineage: Eukaryota; Viridiplantae; Streptophyta; Magnoliopsida; Fabales; Fabaceae.